This 532-nucleotide ribosomal RNA is filed under the name uncultured Glomus. Its description in RNAcentral is "SSU rRNA". It matches the Rfam family "Eukaryotic small subunit ribosomal RNA", at positions 555 to 1092 of the family's 1831-position model. The record is from RNAcentral. Lineage: Eukaryota; Fungi; Glomeromycota; Glomeromycetes; Glomerales; Glomeraceae.
CGAAGUCUGGUGCCAGCAGCCGCGGUAAUUCCAGCUCCAAUAGCGUAUAUUAAAGUUGUUGCAGUUAAAAGCUCGUAGUUGAAUUUCGGGAUCAGUACGUUGGUCGUGCCUUAGGUACGUACUGGUGUUACUGGUUCCUACCUUCUGACGAACCAUCAUGUCAUUAAUUUGGUGUGGCGGGGAAUCAGGACUGUUACUUUGAAAAAUUAGAGUGUUUAAAGCAGGCUCGCGCUUGAAUACAUUAGCAUGGAAUAAUGAAAUAGGACGUUGAUCCUAAUUUUGUUGGUUUCUAGGAUUGACGUAAUGAUUAAUAGGGAUAGUUGGGGGCAUUAGUAUUUAAUUGUCAGAGGUGAAAUUCUUGGAUUUAUUGAAGACUAACUACUGCGAAAGCAUUUGCCAAGGAUGUUUUCAUUAAUCAAGAACGAAAGUUAGGGGAUCGAAGACGAUCAGAUACCGUCGUAGUCUUAACCAUAAACUAUGCCGACUAGGGAUCGGAUGAUGUUAUUUUUAAUGACUCAUUCGGCGCCUUACG